UUCCUGGUGGUCCAGUAGCUAAGACUCUGCACUCCCAAUGCAUGGGUCUGGAUUUGAUCCCCAGUCAGGGAA
RNAcentral lists this transfer RNA (72 nucleotides) under Ovis aries (sheep). It matches the Rfam family "tRNA". Rfam says of the family: Transfer RNA (tRNA) molecules are approximately 80 nucleotides in length. Their secondary structure includes four short double-helical elements and three loops (D, anti-codon, and T loops). The record is from Rfam by way of RNAcentral. Lineage: Eukaryota; Metazoa; Chordata; Mammalia; Artiodactyla; Bovidae.